This 400-nucleotide ribosomal RNA is filed under the name Peronosporales sp. RNAcentral describes it as "partial small subunit ribosomal RNA". It matches the Rfam family "Eukaryotic small subunit ribosomal RNA", at positions 582 to 975 of the family's 1831-position model. The record is from RNAcentral. Lineage: Eukaryota; Oomycota; Peronosporomycetes; Peronosporales.
AUUCCAGCUCCAAUAGCGUAUAUUAAAGUUGUUGCAGUUAAAAAGCUCGUAGUUGGAUUUCUGGUUUGAGCGUCCGGUCCGCUUCCUCUGGAAGUGUGUACUAAGGAUGUUUGAGCCAUUUUUUGUGAGGACGUUUUUCUGUCAUUAAGUUGAUGGUUGAAUGGACUUGCAUCGUUUACUGUGAAAAAAUUAGAGUGUUUAAAGCAGGCGUUUGCUCAUUGAAUACAUUAGCAUGGAAUAAUAAGAUACGACCUUGGUGGUCUAUUUUGUUGGUUUGCACACCAGGGUAAUGAUUAAUAGGGACAGUUGGGGGUAUUCAUAUUUCAACGUCAGAGGUGAAAUUCUUGGAUCGUUGAAAGAUGAGCUUAGGCGAAAGCAUUUACCAAGGAUGUUUUCAUUA